Python bivittatus (Burmese python) is the source of this 318-nucleotide long non-coding RNA. RefSeq lists it as uncharacterized. Lineage: Eukaryota; Metazoa; Chordata; Lepidosauria; Squamata; Pythonidae. The record is from RefSeq and is a predicted model, not a curated record.
AUUGCAGUUUCCCCAGGCAGUUUUCAAAGUACCUUCCCCAGUGCUCUUCAUCGCGUUCCCCUUGGGCCGAGGGAGAGAAAUGCCGUCAGAUGAGGCGUAGCACAGAAGCUACAGACUUGUUUUGAGUCCCCCAAGCAAGCGUUACAGCUUCCAGACUGCCUCACAGGAUCUCCGCCUUGGGAGGCCUGCCAAGAAUUCGGGCAUCUGAAGAUUCCCAAAGAGAUCCCAACAUUCGUCCUACGACAGCUGCCUCUGUGAUUUUGGGAGAGAGACGAUAAAAACGAACAAAAAAUCCAAGGGAAAGGAAGAAAGGAAAGG